This is a long non-coding RNA of Dipodomys spectabilis (banner-tailed kangaroo rat), 305 nucleotides long. RefSeq lists it as uncharacterized. NCBI's taxonomy places the organism in Eukaryota, Metazoa, Chordata, Mammalia, Rodentia, Heteromyidae. The record is from RefSeq and is a predicted model, not a curated record. The transcript is spliced from 3 exons.
UCUUAGCAUCACCAGUUACCAAGUACACAUAGGACCAAGCUCCAGCUUGCAAUAAAUGACUCUUUGCUGUUUGCAUUGAUCAUGGUCUCUGGUGGUCUGAGAGGGGGCGUCCGAAAUCUGAGCACUUUAUGUGGGAGCUUGUCCGGGAUAGCCCCCCCAUAAGCCACACAGAUACCUGAUCAGCGAGUCGUCCAGCUAGCCGGUGGGAUUCAAAAGAUCCGUUGAUGAAUUGCCUUGCUAAACAAGCGAGCCCUGGGAAAAUGAAGCUUAACAAAGAUCACCAUGAUACACUUAAUAACCAGCAG